RNAcentral lists this ribosomal RNA (1351 nucleotides) under metagenome. RNAcentral describes it as "bacterial LSU rRNA". It matches the Rfam family "Bacterial large subunit ribosomal RNA", at positions 1552 to 2925 of the family's 2925-position model. The record is from RNAcentral.
UAGACGAAGGCGUGAUGCGGAGCGAAAUGAAGUAGUGAAGCUGCGGCCCCUUCCUGUCGAGAAAAGCCGCUAUCGUGUAGCAAGGGCCCGUACCGUAAACCGACACAGGUGGACGAGGAGAGGAUCCUAAGGCCGGCGGGAGAAGUGUUGUUAAGGAACUCGGCAAAAUGACUCCGUAACUUCGGGAGAAGGAGUGCUGCGCAAGCAGCCGCAGAGAAAUGGCCCAAGCAACUGUUUAGCAAAAACACAGGUCUAUGCGAAACCGAAAGGUGAGGUAUAUGGGCUGACGCCUGCCCGGUGCUGGAAGGUUAAGGGGAGAGCUUAGCGCAAGCGAAGGUUUGAACUUAAGCCCCAGUAAACGGCGGCCGUAACGAUAACGGUCCUAAGGUAGCGAAAUUCCUUGUCGGGUAAGUUCCGACCCGCACGAAAGGCGUAAUGAUUUGGGCACUGUCUCAACAACACACCCGGUGAAAUUGAAAUACCAGUGAAGAUGCUGGUUACCCGCGCCAGGACGGAAAGACCCCAUGGAGCUUUACUCCAGCCUGAUACUGGGACUCGGUAUUGCAUGUACAGGAUAGGUGGGAGGCUAAGAACUUAUGGCGCCAGCCGUGAGGGAGCCGAUGUUGGGAUACCACCCCUGCAGUACUGGGUUUCUAACCUGCGCCCGUGACCCGGGCGGGGGACAAUGUCAGGCGGGGAGUUUGACUGGGGCGGUCGCCUCCGAAAGGGUAUCGGAGGCGCUCAAAGGUCUCCUCAGGAUGGUUGGAAACCAUCCAGAGAGUGCAAGGGCAGAAGGAGGCUUGACUGCGACACCGACGGGUGGAGCAGGUACGAAAGUAGGACUUAGUGAUCCGGUGGCAUAAAGUGGGAUUGCCAUCGCUCAACGGAUAAAAGCUACCCUGGGGAUAACAGGCUUAUCACUCCCAAGAGUUCACAUCGACGGAGUGGUUUGGCACCUCGAUGUCGGCUCAUCGCAUCCUGGAGCUGGAGCAGGUUCCAAGGGUUGGGCUGUUCGCCCAUUAAAGCGGUACGCGAGCUGGGUUCAGAACGUCGUGAGACAGUUCGGUCCCUAUCCGGCGCGGGCGCAGGAUAUCUGAGAGGAGCUGUCCUUAGUACGAGAGGACCGGGAUGGACCGUCCGCUGGUGGACCGGUUGUCAUGCCAAUGGCACGGCCGGGUAGCCAAGACGGGAAGGGAUAAACGCUGAAGGCAUCUAAGCGUGAAGCCCCCCUCAAGAUGAGAUAUCCAUACUCGAAAGAGUGAGAGACCCCUUAGAGACGAUGAGGUAGAUAGGGCAGAGAUGGAAGCACAGCGAUGUGUGGAGUUGACUGUUACUAAUCGGUCGAUAGCUC